GCAUUAUGCUUGUAUGGUUGAUCUCCUUGGCCGAGCAGGGCGCUUAAAAGAAGCUAAGGAUAUCAUAGACUGCAUGCCUCUAAAGCCAAAUAUAGGGAUAUGGCAGGCAUUGCUCAGUGCUUGCAGAAUUCACGCAGACGUGGAAUUGGGGAUAGAAGUAGGUGAGAUUCUCUUGAGAUUAGAUGGUGAUAAUCCUGUCAACUAUGUGAUGCUGUCAAAUAUUUAUGCUGAUGCUGGCUACUGGAAUGAGUGUGAGAGAGUAAGAGAAUUGGUUAAGACAAAGAGGUUGAAGAAAGAAGCAGGCCGCAGUUGGGUAGAGAUUGACAAGGAGGUCCACUUCUUCUACGGUGGAGAUGACACACACCCACUCAUAGAGAAAAUACAUGAAGUCUUGAAAGAAAUGGAGAAGAAAAUGAAAGAAGAGUUGGGUUAUGUGUACGGAAUGAAAUAUGCAUUGCGUGAUGUGGAAGAAGAAUCAAAGGAAGAGAGCUUGAGAUUUCACAGUGAGAAGUUGGCAAUUGGGUUGGCUUUGGUUUGUGGUGGCUGGGAAAAGAGCGGAGGGGUGAUUCGCGUCUUCAAAAACUUGAGAAUUUGCGGGGAUUGUCAUCAGUUCAUCAAGGGCUUAUCGAAAAUCCUGCAAUUGGUAUUUUUAGUGAGAGAUGCUAACAGAUUUCACAGGUUUGAGAAUGGACUGUGUUCUUGCAGAGAUUAUUGGUGAUAUCGUGGGUUCUCGAAUUUGAAUUCUGAGAUUAUUGGUGUUCGAGUGUUUCAUUUAUAUUAAAAAUAAAAUUUAUUUUGG
RNAcentral lists this unclassified non-coding RNA (799 nucleotides) under Hevea brasiliensis (rubber tree). Lineage: Eukaryota; Viridiplantae; Streptophyta; Magnoliopsida; Malpighiales; Euphorbiaceae. The record is from RNAcentral.